Molecule: ribosomal RNA, 500 nt
Filed under: uncultured bacterium
Lineage: Bacteria
Description: partial 16S ribosomal RNA
Rfam family: Bacterial small subunit ribosomal RNA
Source: RNAcentral
AUUGAACGCUGGCGGCAUGCCUUACACAUGCAAGUCGAACGGCAGCACGGGAGCAAUCCUGGUGGCGAGUGGCGAACGGGUGAGUAAUAUAUCGGAACGUGCCCAGUCGUGGGGGAUAACGCAGCGAAAGCUGUGCUAAUACCGCAUACGAUCUAUGGAUGAAAGCGGGGGACCGCAAGGCCUCGCGCGAUUGGAGCGGCCGAUAUCAGAUUAGCUAGUUGGUGGGGUAAAGGCCCACCAAGGCGACGAUCUGUAGCUGGUCUGAGAGGACGACCAGCCACACUGGAACUGAGACACGGUCCAGAGUCCAACGGGAGGCAGCAGUGGGGAAUUUUGGACAAUGGGCGCAAGCCUGAUCCAGCAAUGCCGCGUGCAGGAUGAAGGCCUUCGGGUUGUAAACUGCUUUUGUACGGAACGAAACGGUGAGCUUUAAUACAGUUUGCUAAUGACGGUACCGUAAGAAUAAGUACCGGCUAACUACGUGCCAGCAGCCGCAGUAA